This 253-nucleotide ribosomal RNA is filed under the name uncultured bacterium. RNAcentral's name for it is "partial 16S ribosomal RNA". It matches the Rfam family "Bacterial small subunit ribosomal RNA", at positions 524 to 776 of the family's 1533-position model. The record is from RNAcentral.
UACGGAGGAUCCAAGCGUUAUCCGGAUUUAUUGGGUUUAAAGGGUGCGUAGGCGGCCAAUUAAGUCAGGGGUGAAAGACGGUAGCUUAACUAUCGCAGUGCCUUUGAUACUGAUUGGCUUGAAUGGACUAGAGGUAGGCGGAAUGUGACAAGUAGCGGUGAAAUGCAUAGAUAUGUCACAGAACACCAAUUGCGAAGGCAGCUUACUAUGGUUUAAUUGACGCUGAGGCACGAAAGCGUGGGGAUCAAACAGG